This 711-nucleotide ribosomal RNA is filed under the name uncultured soil bacterium. Its description in RNAcentral is "bacterial SSU rRNA". It matches the Rfam family "Bacterial small subunit ribosomal RNA", at positions 48 to 755 of the family's 1533-position model. The record is from RNAcentral.
UUUACACAUGCAAGUCGAGCGAGGCGGAGUAGCAAUACUCCAGUCGAGCGGCGAACGGGUGAGUAACGCGUGGAUGACCUGCCUCGAGGUGGGGGAUAACCCGGGGAAACUCGGGCUAAUACCGCGUGAUAUUGACGAGAUCAAAGGGGGCUCGCAAGAGCUCUCGCCGCGAGAGGGGUCCGCGUCCGAUUAGCUAGUUGGUAGGGUAAUGGCCUACCAAGGCGACGAUCGGUAGCCGGCCUGAGAGGGUGAUCGGCCACACUGGAACUGAGACACGGUCCAGACUCCUACGGGAGGCAGCAGUGGGGAAUUUUGCGCAAUGGGCGGAAGCCUGACGCAGCAACGCCGCGUGGAGGAUGAAGGUCUUUGGAUUGUAAACUCCUGUCAGCAGGGAAAAAGUGACUCGGCCUCAUACGCCGGGAAGUUGAUUGUACCUGCAGAGGAAGCCCCGGCUAACUCUGUGCCAGCAGCCGCGGUAAUACAGAGGGGGCAAGCGUUAUUCGGAAUUAUUGGGCGUAAAGGGCGCGUAGGCGGCCAGGCAAGUGGAAGGUGAAAUCCCCGGGCUCAACUCGGGAACUGCCUUUCAAACUGCUUAGCUUGAGUCCGGGAGAGGUGAGUGGAAUUCCAAGUGUAGCGGUGAAAUGCGUAGAUAUUGGGAGGAACACCAGUGGCGAAGGCGGCUCACUGGACCGGAACUGACGCUGAGGCGCG